CUCUCUUGCCGGCCACCAUGUAAGACGUCCCUUUGCUCUUCCUGCAUCUUCCACCAUGAUUGUGAGGCCUCCCCAGCCAUGUGGAACUGGCCUGUUCCAGCACUGAGUGCGCCUUUGGGGAUCGUGCACCGUGAGCAGCACAGCUGGACCCCAGGUGAGGGCACUUCACCUCCCAGGCCUGGUCUCCACACCCGGGUCACAGAGAGACAUGUCAGCUGAGGAAGCAGGGCAGGCGGCCUCUUCCUUCAACACCUUUAACUUCCUUUAAAUGGAGAAGGGAGGCUGCUCCUGGGGAACACAGAGGGCCGCUCCACUGUAAAACCACAGCAGCUGUGCACCAGGAUGGGCCUCAGGGACCAGCCAGCCCAGGGAUGGCCGGUGCCCCCACCCUCUGACAAAUGCACCCAGGAGUCAAGCAUGGGGGUGUCCUCGGCACCUGGAUUGGAAGGUUCUUGCCAUUGUGGAUGGGGUCUAACCUCCUGGACUUCAGUGGGUAACCGAAGGCUCCAGCACGCAGCUUCAGAAAGACCAGAGCCAGGCCCAGGUGCCCUCUCCAGCCGACAUCCGGGCUGUGGCCUCUGGGCUGCUUCUCCUUCCUGUGGCUUCCAAGUCCCAGGGUACAUCGGUGCCCUUCUGUGUCCUGGCAGUUUUAGAGAAAAGGAAUGAAGCAGCUGUAUUCACAUACAUGUAGUAAAUGUGAAAUUUUCACAGCA
This is a long non-coding RNA of Homo sapiens (human), 713 nucleotides long. RefSeq lists it as uncharacterized. Lineage: Eukaryota; Metazoa; Chordata; Mammalia; Primates; Hominidae. The record is from RefSeq and is a predicted model, not a curated record. The transcript is spliced from 2 exons.